UCGUACGCAUGCAUUUGGCUUGCCAGAUUGCGAUGAGUGGCGGACGGGUGAGUAACACGUAAGAACCUACCUUUUGGAGAGGGAUAACCAUUGGAAACGAUGGCUAAUACCUCGUAUUGCUGAGAAGUGAAAGAUGAAAAUCGCCAAUAGAUGGGCUUGCGGCUGAUUAGCUUGUUGGUGAGGUAAUGGCUUACCAAGGCAAUGAUCAGUAGCUGGUCUGAGAGGAUGAUCAACCACACUGGGACUGAGACACGGCCCAGACUCCUACGGGAGGCAGCAGUGAGGAAUUUUCCGCAAUGGGCGACAGCCUGACGGAGCAAUGCCGCGUGAAGGAUGAAGGCCUAUGGGUUGUAAACUUCUUUUCUCAGAGAAGAAGCAUUGACGGUAUCUGAGGAAUAAGCAUCGGCUAACUCUGUGCCAGCAGCCGCGGUAAGACAGAGGAUGCAAGCGUUAUCCGGAAUGAUUGGGCGUAAAGCGUCUGUAGGUGGCUUAAAAAGUCUCCUGUCAAAGAUCAGGGCUUAACCCUGGGCCGGCAGGAGAAACUCUUAGGCUAGAGUUUGGUAGGGGCAGAGGGAAUUCCCGGUGGAGCGGUGAAAUGCGUAGAGAUCGGGAGGAACACCAAAGGCGAAAGCACUCUGCUGGGCCAUAACUGACACUGAGAGACGAAAGCGAGGGGAGCAAAAGGGAUUAGAUACCCCUGUAGUCCUCGCCGUAAACGAUGGAUACUAGAUGUUGGGUAGGUUAAAUCACUCAGUAUCGUAGCUAAC
This 767-nucleotide ribosomal RNA is filed under the name Chlorella vulgaris. RNAcentral's name for it is "SSU rRNA". It matches the Rfam family "Bacterial small subunit ribosomal RNA", at positions 62 to 856 of the family's 1533-position model. Lineage: Eukaryota; Viridiplantae; Chlorophyta; Trebouxiophyceae; Chlorellales; Chlorellaceae. The record is from RNAcentral.